This is a non-coding RNA of Triticum urartu, 502 nucleotides long. NCBI's taxonomy places the organism in Eukaryota, Viridiplantae, Streptophyta, Magnoliopsida, Poales, Poaceae. The record is from RefSeq and is a predicted model, not a curated record.
GUCAUGCUCGGGCAGUAAUAGUCUAAGCUUCAUCAUGUAAUAAGCUCCACCUGCGUGCACAGUAUGUGCUCCAGGAAAUAUCCUACUCAUCAAUCGGAAUAGUUAUUGUCAUUCUACGAGCUAAAAGACGUCGGUCAUUCUAAAAUGUCUAACUAUACUUUUAGCAAAGCGGCAACACCUGAAGUGUGUCGAUAUCUGUAGGCGUUGCUAAUUGUUGCCAAGUGACAUCUACGGACCCAACGGAGCAAAUAAAGUUAAUGCGAAGAAGACAAAAUUCAAGGAGGAAGUAGGAUAUGGUUAUUGUACCUAAUAUUUGUGGUGUUGAACCACGCAUGGUUAUUGUACCUAAUAUCAUCCGUAUGUACUGUAGCUAUUUUUGCUGCUUUGGAUGGUGAACAGAAAAUUAUGUGAAUGAUAUUAACAACAAAUGGUUUAGCGAAUGAGGCCCUGAUUGGAUGGCACUGGCAAAUGGAUCAUCAAAGUAUAUGUUUCUAAUUUUCCA